Molecule: ribosomal RNA, 431 nt
Filed under: uncultured bacterium
Lineage: Bacteria
Description: partial 16S ribosomal RNA
Rfam family: Bacterial small subunit ribosomal RNA
Source: RNAcentral
AACGAACGCUGGCGGCAGGCCUAACACAUGCAAGUCGAGCGCGCCCUUCGGGGUGAGCGGCGGACGGGUGAGUAACGCGUGGGAACGUGCCCUUUUCUACGGAAUAGCCUCGGGAAACUGAGAGUAAUACCGUAUACGCCCUUUGGGGGAAAGAUUUAUCGGAAAAGGAUCGGCCCGCGUUGGAUUAGGUAGUUGGUGGGGUAAUGGCCUACCAAGCCGACGAUCCAUAGCUGGUUUGAGAGGAUGAUCAGCCACACUGGGACUGAGACACGGCCCAGACUCCUACGGGAGGCAGCAGUGGGGAAUCGUAGACAAUGGGGGCAACCCUGAGCUAGCCAUGCCGCGUGAGGGAUGAAGGCCUGAGGGGUGUAAAGCUCUUUCAGCUGGGAAGAUAAUGACGGGACCAGCAGAAGAAGCCCCGGCUAACGCCG